CAUAAAAAACAGUUAGUUCAUAAAAGGGAUCCUUGUUUGAGCAGGUGUUUGAAUCUAGAUGGUGAAGGAUUAAAAUAAAAUCAUGGAUUAAAGUAACUUACAAGAGAUUAAAGAGAAUCAGAUAAUCUUCCCGUCAAUCAGAACCAUGUCAACACCCAUGAACUUACCCCUUUUCUCUGCAAUGACCUUCCUUCAAUUCUGAAAAUAGAAUCUGGAAAUUAACCAUUCAUUUUUGGAUCUUUCUGGAGAACUCUUGAAAAAACGUUAGCAGACAGACGAACUAUGAAACUCACUUGUGAAAUUUAUCGGAGGAAAGAGUCAUUUAAGAAGAGGUAAUGGGUUUCAUUGAUUCAACUCGACGUUACCUCGUAGAACCGAGGCUAAGAGGAAAAGGUGCGGCUGAAGUUCGAGGAAGCUGAAGUGAUUGAGUUGCCACGUGGCAUAAAACCCUCGUAUGUGAAUGAUGACGUG
Molecule: long non-coding RNA, 471 nt
Filed under: Brassica napus (rape)
Lineage: Eukaryota; Viridiplantae; Streptophyta; Magnoliopsida; Brassicales; Brassicaceae
Description: long non-coding RNA (BNAP_LNC021439)
Source: RNAcentral